This is a long non-coding RNA of Dioscorea cayenensis subsp. rotundata (Guinea yam), 174 nucleotides long. RefSeq lists it as uncharacterized. The record is from RefSeq and is a predicted model, not a curated record. Lineage: Eukaryota; Viridiplantae; Streptophyta; Magnoliopsida; Dioscoreales; Dioscoreaceae. The transcript has 3 exons.
CUUUACAAGCUGAAGCAUCUUUCAAAAGUGGAGGUGAUUGCAAAUGAUCCUACUGGCUGCACCUUUAUGCUGAUGACAGGAAUCGGCUUCUUCAUGGCAUUCUAAACAUGUGUAAAGAGAUGUUAGGCCGCCUUCCCAAAGUUGUUAUAGACAUUGUUGAGAUGGCUCUGUGGG